CCCUGCCCUUUGUACACACCGCCCGUCGCACCUACCGAUUGAAUGGUCCGGUGAAACCAUCGGAUCGGCGGCUUUGCUCUUGUAGCGGGUCGCCGAGAAGUCGGUUAAACCUUACCAUUGAGAGGAAG
This 128-nucleotide ribosomal RNA is filed under the name uncultured eukaryote. Its description in RNAcentral is "partial small subunit ribosomal RNA". It matches the Rfam family "Eukaryotic small subunit ribosomal RNA", at positions 1651 to 1782 of the family's 1831-position model. The record is from RNAcentral.